GACGAACGCUGGCGGCGUGCUUAACACAUGCAAGUCGAACGGAAAGGCCCUGCUUUUGUGGGGUGCUCGAGUGGCCAACGGGUGAGUAACACGUGAGUAACCUGCCCUUGACUUUGGGAUAACUUCAGGAAACUUGGGCUAAUACCGGAUAGGAGCUCCUGCUGCAUGGUGGGGGUUGGAAAGUUUCGGCGGUUGGGGAUGGACUCGCGGCUUAUCAGCUUGUUGGUGGGGUAGUGGCUUACCAAGGCUUUGCGGGGUAGCCGGCCUGAGCUGGUAACAGGACACGUAGGGAUGGAGAUGAGACACAGACCAGUACGGGAGGCAACAGUGGGGAAUAUUGCACAAUGGAAGGAGGACUAAUGCAGCAAAGCAGCGUGGGGGAUGACGGCAAUGGGGUAGUAAACCGCUUUCGCCUGUGACGAAGCGUGAGUGACGGUAAUGGGUAAAGAAGCACCGGCUAACUACGUG
Molecule: ribosomal RNA, 468 nt
Filed under: uncultured bacterium
Lineage: Bacteria
Description: partial 16S ribosomal RNA
Rfam family: Bacterial small subunit ribosomal RNA
Source: RNAcentral